RNAcentral lists this ribosomal RNA (482 nucleotides) under uncultured bacterium. Its description in RNAcentral is "partial 16S ribosomal RNA". It matches the Rfam family "Bacterial small subunit ribosomal RNA", at positions 28 to 507 of the family's 1533-position model. The record is from RNAcentral.
GAUGAACGCUCGCGGCAGGCCUAAUACAUGCAAGUCGGACGGGAUUCAGGAGCUUGCUUCUGAUGAGAGUGGCGCACGGGUGCGUAACACGUAUGUAACCUACCUUUAUCAGGGGGAUAGCCUCUCGAAAGAGAGAUUAAGCCCGCAUAAAACCACAGCACAGCAUUGUGUACUGAUCAAAUAUUUAUAGGAUAAAGAUGGGCAUGCGGAACAUUAGCUAGAUGGCGGGGUAACGGCCCACCAUGGCGACGAUGUUUAGGGGAUCUGAGAGGAUGGCCCCCCACACUGGUACUGAGACACGGACCAGACUCCUACGGGAGGCAGCAGUAAGGAAUAUUGGGCAGUGGGCGGAAGCCUGAACCAGCCAUGCCGCGUGCAGGAAGACGGCCCUACGGGUGGAAAACUGCUUUUAGACGGGAAUAAACCCAGAUACGUGUAUCUGGCUGAAUGUACUGUAAGAAUAAGGAUCGGCUAACUCCGUG